UUUCCGUAGGUGAACCUGCGGAAGGAUCAUUCAUAAUAAGUGUUUUAUGGCACUUUUUUAAAUCCAUAUCCACCUUGUGUGCAAUGUCAGGGUUGGUCUCUUUUUGAUCAGCCCCAAACAUCAACUAUUAUCUCAACUCUUUGUCUGAAGAAUAUUAUGAAUAAAACAAUUCAAAAUACAACUUUCAACAACGGAUCUCUUGGCUCUC
RNAcentral lists this unclassified non-coding RNA (208 nucleotides) under plant metagenome. RNAcentral describes it as "partial contains small subunit ribosomal RNA, internal transcribed spacer 1, and 5.8S ribosomal RNA". The record is from RNAcentral.